GAUGAACGCUGGCGGCGUGCUUAACACAUGCAAGUCGAACGAGAGAAGAUUGGUGCUUGCACUGAUCCGAUCGAGUGGCGGACGGGUGAGUAACGCGUGGGUAACCUGCCUCAUACAGGGGAAUAACAGUUGGAAACGGCUGCUAAAACCGCAUAAGCGCACAGUAUCGCAUGAUACAGUGUGAAAAACUCCGGUGGUAUGAGAUGGACCCGCGUCUGAUUAGCUAGUUGGUGAGGUGACGGCCCACCAAGGCAACGAUCAGUAGCCGGCCUGAGGGGGUGAACGGCCACAUGGGGACUGAGACACGGCCCAAACUCCAACGGGAGGCAGCAGUGGGGAAUAUUGCACAAUGGGGGAAACCCUGAUGCAGCGACGCCGCGUGAGUGAUGAAGUAUUUCGGUAUGUAAAGCUCUAUCAGCAGGGAAGAUAAUGACGGUACCUGACUAAGAAGCACCGGCUAAAUACGUGCCAGCCGCCGCCGUAA
Molecule: ribosomal RNA, 484 nt
Filed under: uncultured bacterium
Lineage: Bacteria
Description: partial 16S ribosomal RNA
Rfam family: Bacterial small subunit ribosomal RNA
Source: RNAcentral